GGAUGUGAGGGCAAUUUGGCUGCAACAUCUGUCAUUCCAUUUAUCACCAGGGUUGAUUCAGUUGAUCUGGCUGGCUAGGUGGGUGUCCCCUUCUUCCCUCACCGCUUCAUGUGCAUCCCUCCCAAAGCUGUGUACUCAGUUGAAGGGGACAACCUUCCCUGCUAAAGGAGGACCGAUCUUCGGUCAAGGGUAUGCGAGCAGCUGCAUUCUCCUGCUAAAACCUCCAAACAAGCUCUCAAGGACAGGCUGGAUAUCAUUUCUCAGUGCCUUUUUCUUAAAGGUUUAUUUUUUUUUUUUAAAUGCAGAGAGAGAAAGAAUGA
RNAcentral lists this small nuclear RNA (320 nucleotides) under Oryctolagus cuniculus (rabbit). RNAcentral describes it as "7SK RNA". It matches the Rfam family "7SK RNA". From Rfam's summary of the family: 7SK was discovered as an abundant small nuclear RNA in the mid-70s but a possible function has only recently been suggested. Two independent studies have found that 7SK RNA binds the CDK9/cyclin T complex (known as elongation factor P-TEFb). Lineage: Eukaryota; Metazoa; Chordata; Mammalia; Lagomorpha; Leporidae. The record is from Rfam by way of RNAcentral.